This 849-nucleotide long non-coding RNA is filed under the name Sus scrofa (pig). RNAcentral describes it as "lncRNA (ENSSSCG00060020091.1)". Lineage: Eukaryota; Metazoa; Chordata; Mammalia; Artiodactyla; Suidae. The record is from RNAcentral.
AUGUGGACGGACCCUUCUUCCCACGGCCUCCCACCUUUACAGUCCUCACUGCUCUCCGGCUCAUUCGGCCCGGAGUCCUGUCACUUCUAUAGCAACUGUGCUCCUCACAUCUCAGGGUGGAUCACCGGGGACAAGCCUCUUCCCAUGCACAUCUCUACUGGGUCAGGGCCACCUCCUCCGGGAGGCCUCUUUGAUUGCCUCAGCCUCCAGCAGCUUCUUCCUUACAUGUCCCUGACAUUCCGAGGGUAAGUCUUUCUACGGGUUAGGGGGAGGGCCCUUUCUCCCCACCUCUGAGCCCCUCAAGGCAGGGCCUAUAUCUAGUCAUCUUUAUGUCCCUGUUGCCAACAUGGGAACUGGCAUCUGUAUGUGUAAAGAGCUGAGGGCCUGGCUCCAGGGAAGGGCAUCCAUCUGAAUUGGGUCAAGUCUCUGCUCUGGCUCUUCCGGGCUGCGUGACCCUGAGCCAGCAGCACCGGGUUCCCAAUGGUACCACCCACGAGGACGUUCGACCUCCCUCCUCUAAGAGUCUGCAUUUCUGUGGUGCUGAGGCUGGAGACAAACAUCCUCUGAUAGAGGCAUAGAUAGUCCCUUUCGACACCGACGGUAAGGAGGCUGGGGGUGGUUACCAGGUCAUUGGCAAUUAAACUCAGAGGGUUCCCGACCCAGGGAGAGAGUUGGUGUCAGGUGUAGACAGACCCACAGGAACUUAGACUUCCUUAACCUCUUCGGGCUGCUUUGGGUCACUAGAGAAGAUUAAAUAGGGGGACGCUUAAUUCACAUGCACAGUACAGUUAGGAACUCGGUGAUUUGGGGAGUUGUGUCUGGGUCCCCUUCCUGUCUCGUGUCUCCUUG